Molecule: long non-coding RNA, 1279 nt
Organism: Anguilla anguilla (European eel)
Lineage: Eukaryota; Metazoa; Chordata; Actinopteri; Anguilliformes; Anguillidae
Exons: 3
Source: RefSeq, a predicted model, not a curated record
GCACCAUUGCCUCAGGGCAUAUGUGUGUGACUGACUAUGGGUGGCAGUGUAGCAUGUUAGGGAGCGCGGCUUGUAACUUUGAGGUUGCCAGAUCGAUUCCCAAGUUGCACCCUCGAGCAAGGCACUGACAUGCUUCAGCAAAUAAAUGCUCAGCUGUAUUUGGAUCACAUGUUUAGAGCACAAGCUGUGUAAGACACUCUGGAUAAAUGCAUAGUAUAUGCAGCUAAAGCAGCAGCUUUUCACACCAAAAAUAUUGCUGGGGAAAUUAUUGGCGGAUGCUAACGGAACACUGGUGAGCUGCUCGGAUAAUGCCAGCAAAAUGCUGGCAGGGACGCUGGGGGAAAAGCCCGGUGUUGCUGUGAAACCAGAAGAGCUCCAGCCUCACCUCGCGGAUAGCUGUGAAACACUGUAAUUAUUGCCUCUGGCAAGUGACGGUAAUUAACGAGGUGGCAGAGAAACGGAGGUGCGAACGUUCAGGUUGCAAAUUGCGCGGGGCUCCCCGGCGCAAGCUGUCGCGCUAAUGCGAGGAGUCUGCUGCAUUCUAAUGUUAAUGUCCUCGCGCCCGCGCUCUUAAUGCGCGAAUCUGCUUCGUACACGGCUGCGGGGAAAUGACGGUCUCAAUUUCGCAUCUGCCGGGAGACAGGAAACGCUUCAAAAUAUUAGCGGUUAAACAAUCAAUUGGGCAGGCUAAUUACGUGAGGUGCAACAGUAAAUUACGUCUGAGUGAUUAAAAUGGCCGUUUAACGAGGGAGCGAAUUGGCUGCGCCGCCGCCGUUUGCAAACAGACUUUUUGCGAGUGUGACUGAUGUGGAUUCACCAAUCAGCGCGCAGCAACCGUGAGUACCCUCAGUCAAGACUUCUUCUUUAUGGAGUGGGAGCCAGCUUUUGAGAGUCAUUGAUCUGAGUUAUCGCUCAGUUAAGACAAAGACCCAGUAUUGUUGUAAAUUGGUUAAAAAUGUGGUUGGGCCCCCUGUAAAAGUGAUUCAAGGUACUGAGAGGUUAUCGCUUCUCUUUUUUGUUAUCAUCAUAAAUGAGCAGUACUUAAUUUACUGUCAAUUCCUUUAUGGGCAAUGGUGAGCAUUCUGGCGCAAAAUGGCUGCCGUGCAUCACCCAGGUGGGUGCUACACAUUGGCGGUGGCUGAGAAACUCCACGCUGACAAUGUGACGGCUCACUUCCCGGGUACAAUCCUCAAACGAAGCUGGAAGAGCCUGGAUAUUUACCUGUAAUACAGGAAGGUGCGGUCCAUUUGAGGAGGGCAGGAAGUCCCGGCUCGUGCAU